UCCUUCAACCCCCCCCCCACACACACUGCUGCCUGAUUCCAGCUAACCUUUUCCCCCUUUUCUUUCCAGACGGUUUUCUUUCUCCGACUAUCUAGUGUGUCUAUGUACGUUUGACAGUCUGAAACGCCUUUGUCUUGCAGAGAGAGCCAUGGACGGGACGACAGCGCACCACUCCCAGCUCCCGAGAGCCUAACCCGUGGACAUGAGAGCACAACGUCACAAGUUAGGGUCUCAGGGAUUGCGAGAGGCACAUUUUAUAGUUGUACUAUUUCUACUCCCAGACAGACCGUGAUUUGAAUUAAUCAUGCUGGCUUGAGAGUACCAAAUAGACCAGAAAGAAACACACGAUAUUCAUGACAAUAAAGGCUUCCUUCCGUGAGGUAUUUGUGCAACGCAUCCCCCCCUUCUCUGCCUCUCUGCCUGUAACAUACAACAAGUGCAACCGUAAGCCAGACACAACAUCGACCAAUCUCCCCCUCCCCCUCUCUCUCUCUGGAGACCCCCACCUCCCACCGACACUCUCUCGCUGUCUCUCUACCUAUGUCUCUCCCUAUCUCUCUCUUUCUCUCUCUCUCUCUCAACCCCUGGACAAAACAAUACGGCACUUUGAAAAAUGCUCCUGGCUCCAGGUAAACCCAACGCUAGCUUUCGGUUCCUUAAGCUCCCAUGCACUCUAUUCCCAGGCUGCAGCUGCUAGUUAUUAAGGGAUGGCCAGACAUAAUCCUGGUUCAGCAGCCAGCAGCACACCAACCAACGAUUCAAAACGACUAUAAAGAAUAACCAAGGAAAAGAACACAAAGUCAGUUUAUCUUGAAACAUUCACGUGACUCAUUUCAUUUCAAUAUUAGGAGGGCAGAGCGAUGAUCUGGAUAUGCACACGAGGAUGGCUGAAUAUGAAUCCUCACUGAACCUACCACGACCAGUUUGAGACAGGGAGGUGUAAGGGAGGCAGGCAGUCUCAAUCUACAGCCAUAGAUUAGGAAAUAUGGAUUGAGAAAUAAACAAGAGAGCGGCAGGAAAACGGCUUCAAUCAACUCACCCACGUCUGGUUCGGAAUGAGGAGGCAGCAGCCCUUGUCCCUUGUUGCAGCCUGCUCGACACACAGAGAAAGAGAGAGAGAGAAACGAACUCAGGUUUAAACUCAUGUCGACAAGGUUUCGGACAAGAUCGUGCAGGCUUUACAGACGGUUACAGGGAGAAAGUGGCACGAGUGGGGAGCGAUGGGUCAGUCGAUGACAAGGAGACGAAGCGAACCGACGGAUGGACGGAUAUAAGAAAAGGAGGAGAGAGAAUGGGUGUGCAGAACAGAAACAAAUGCAAAAUUGGAAGAAGGGAGAAAGGAAGAAAUAAAACUGAAUCCCAAGUCCCCCGUUCUCGUCUUCAUGCAUCUGUGUUGAAAGGCAGGAGAUGAAAAAAUGCUUUUCCAAAUAAAUGUUGAAAUAUCAUCCAUUAA
Molecule: long non-coding RNA, 1453 nt
Organism: Salvelinus fontinalis (brook trout)
Lineage: Eukaryota; Metazoa; Chordata; Actinopteri; Salmoniformes; Salmonidae
Exons: 2
Source: RefSeq, a predicted model, not a curated record